This 451-nucleotide ribosomal RNA is filed under the name uncultured bacterium. Its description in RNAcentral is "bacterial SSU rRNA". It matches the Rfam family "Bacterial small subunit ribosomal RNA", at positions 1052 to 1504 of the family's 1533-position model. The record is from RNAcentral.
UCGUCAGCUCGUGUCGUGAGAUGUUGGGUUAAGUCCCGCAACGAGCGCAACCCUUGUUAUUAGUUGCCAGCAUUAAGUUGGGCACUCUAAUGAGACUGCCGGUGACAAACCGGAGGAAGGUGGGGAUGACGUCAAGUCAUCAUGCCCCUUAUGACCUGGGCUACACACGUGCUACAAUGGGCAGUACAACGAGAAGCAAGCCUGCGAAGGCAAACGAAUCUCUGAAAGCUGUUCUCAGUUCGGACUGCAGUCUGCAACUCGACUGCACGAAGCUGGAAUCGCUAGUAAUCGCGGAUCAGCACGCCGCGGUGAAUACGUUCCCGGGCCUUGUACACACCGCCCGUCACACCAUGGGAGUCUGCAAUGCCCAAAGCCGGUGGCCUAACCUUCGGGAAGGAGCCGUCUAAGGCAGGGCAGAUGACUGGGGUGAAGUCGUAACAAGGUAGCCGUA